UUAGCCCCUAGCCCUCCGUUAAAGUCAUGGCCGCUGAAACAUACUCAUAUAUCGUUAAAACGAUGGAGAACGC
This 73-nucleotide long non-coding RNA is filed under the name Neodiprion lecontei (redheaded pine sawfly). RNAcentral describes it as "uncharacterized LOC124293702". Lineage: Eukaryota; Metazoa; Arthropoda; Insecta; Hymenoptera; Diprionidae. The record is from RNAcentral.